UACGGAGGGUGCAAACGUUGCUCGGAAUCAUUGGGCGUAAAGCGCACGUAGGCGGUCGGCUAUGUCGGAUGUGAAAGCCUCGGGCUUAACCCGAGAAGGGCAUCCGAAACUGGCCGGCUUGAGUACGGAAGAGGGUCUCGGAAUUCCCGGUGUAGAGGUGAAAUUCGUAGAUAUUCGCAAGAACACCAGUGGCGAAGGCGGCUCACUGGCCCGAUACUGACGCUGAGGCACGAAAGCGUGGGGAGCAAACAGG
RNAcentral lists this ribosomal RNA (253 nucleotides) under uncultured bacterium. Its description in RNAcentral is "partial 16S ribosomal RNA". It matches the Rfam family "Bacterial small subunit ribosomal RNA", at positions 524 to 776 of the family's 1533-position model. The record is from RNAcentral.